This 497-nucleotide ribosomal RNA is filed under the name uncultured bacterium. RNAcentral describes it as "partial 16S ribosomal RNA". It matches the Rfam family "Bacterial small subunit ribosomal RNA", at positions 28 to 507 of the family's 1533-position model. The record is from RNAcentral.
GAUGAACGCUGGCGGCGUGCCUAAUACAUGCAAGUCGAGCGAACAGACGAGGCGCUUGCUCCUUUGUCGUUUGCGGAGGACGUGUGAGUCACGCGUGGGUCCUCUCCUUAUCAGUGUGGGAUAAUUUCGGGACUCCGGCGCUAAUCCCGGAUAAUAUUCUGAUCCGUAUGGUUCGUUAGUGAAAGAUGGCUUUGCUGUCACUUCUAGAUGGACCUGCGCCGUAUUAUCUGGUUGGUAAGGUACCGGCCUACCAAGGCAACGAUACGUAGCCGAACUGAGAGGGGGAUAGGCCACACUAGAGGUGGGACACCGUCCAGGCGCCUACGGGAGGCAGCAGUAUGGAAUCUGCGGCAAUGGGCGAAAACAUGGCGGAGCAGCGCCGAGUGAGUGAUAAAGGUGUUCGGAGCGUAAAACUCUGUUAUGAGUGAAGAACAAACGUGGAAGUAACUGUGCAGGUCGUGACGGUACCGAAUCAAAAAGCCACGGCUAACUACGUG